UACGGUAGAGACAUAAAUGUGGAAGUUUUAAACAUAGGAAAGGCAUUUGAAGCCACAGGACUAGAUGAGAGCCCCAAAGGGUGGAUGCGGAUAGAGGAGUGAAGAGGCACAAGACUGCUGUCUAGCGGGUGGGGAGGAGAAACCUGCAAAGGAGACGGAUAAAGAAGUGGUCAAUGAGGCGGGGAACUCCCAGUGUGGUGUUACAGAAGUAGAGGAAGGCAAAUGCAUCCAGCUGGAGGAGUCAUAUGCUGUGUCAGGAAGUGAUAAUUUACACUCCAGCUGGUGAUCGAUCAUCUCAGAAUGGUGCAUGAGGUGAGCUGACAACGGCAGCCAGGGGAAGGAACGCGAGGGCCCAGGAUGGAAAUGAGAGCUUCAAAUGUGAGAACACAUUCCAGCUGCAGGAUCAGAGGACUUUUCCUACAGCCCAUAAGUGCCUGCAGCUCUAUCGGAUUUGCAAAUCUACAAAAGAGAGCACAUCCUAUUGUUCCCGGUUUUGAGUUUUUUUAAUAGUAUGUCUUGUAAAAUGCUGGUUGCUGGUGGACAGGGGUGUUUUACAGAUAGGUGUGACUCAGGAGGGGAAAUGGGUGGGCAGAGACAGCCACAAGGAAUUCCACACAUGAAGGAAAUGCUCCCACUUGUGUUUUCUAUUUGUGUUUUAAAUUUGGGGAGCGACUCACAGGCACUCAGCAAAAGUAACUAAUUAUAUUAACCUUAUCAGUAGUGAGGUUUCCUGGUCUCUCAUCAGACACUCAGCUCACUGGCUGGUAUUUAAUUGGGAGCCUGGUGGCCAGUGAAAACAGUGUGGGAUGAGUCACACUUUAACAAGUUUUUAUAGUACAGCAACCUUGCUGUAUAAUAGCCAGACAUUAUUAAAAUUCAGAUAUGGUACACUGACUUGUUUGUUUUCCUUAUUCACAUGAAACAGAUGCUCAGGACUCAUUUUACUUACACACAGUAAAUGAGGGUCAGCUGUGUUGAGGGAAGUGAGUACUUUGUUCUGGAAGGAUAGAUGUUGUAGCAAUUGUCUUGCUCUGAUUGUAUUUGAAAAGAAUGAAUGUUGUUAGUACAAUUUGGUAUUCUUCCAAUGCCUAGUUGGAGUUCAAGGGAUAUAAAACUGGGCGCUUGAGGAGUGGGAUGGAAAAGGAUGGAGAAGGAAGGUCAAAUAUGGCUUUGAAGGGGAUCAGCAGAAGCCAGAGGCCGCAGUGGUGAACACUCCUUGUGAAUGGCCCUUUGCACCCACGGCUUGGUGAACCCAGCAUGGACCGUGGAGAGAGGACCUGCCUAAAAACCAGAGACGGGGUUUGCCUCUCCGCAUCACCACUGGCUUGCUGCAUCAAGAAUCUGCCUUUCAGCUUCUUCACCUGAAACAAGGUGAUUGGGAUAGCUGGUUUUAUUUAUUUAUUUUUGAGGCCAUUCUAGCACUUUGUAAAGUCCAAGGGGGUGUGGUAUUGUAAUUCUUGGAAUAAUACAAUGAACAUCAGAUGCUUUGAAGUUUUCCGUUCGGUGGAUUCUGGGAUUCUUUUCUGAAUGAGUGAUUACUAGCCAACAGGAAUCUCAUGGUUCAACCUCAAACUCAAAAGUUAUUUCGGGGAUGGAAAAUGGUAAGAUUGGGGAAAAUCCUUCCACCUUCACCCCUGUGAAUUAGGAGUCUUGUUAAUUAGUAUACAUGAUUAAAUAUUGAGAUUUAUAGGCAUCAA
Molecule: long non-coding RNA, 1697 nt
Filed under: Homo sapiens (human)
Lineage: Eukaryota; Metazoa; Chordata; Mammalia; Primates; Hominidae
Description: HSALNT0353238
Source: RNAcentral